UCCAGUUUUGGUAUGGUCUCCUGUCUGUC
This 29-nucleotide non-coding RNA is filed under the name Mus musculus (house mouse). Lineage: Eukaryota; Metazoa; Chordata; Mammalia; Rodentia; Muridae. The record is from RNAcentral.